GCGGCAGUAGCUCAGUGUAGAGCCUUCGCUUCGAAUGCGGAGAUACCUGGGUUCCAUUCCCGACUGCUUCC
RNAcentral lists this transfer RNA (71 nucleotides) under Toxocara canis (dog roundworm). It matches the Rfam family "tRNA". From Rfam's summary of the family: Transfer RNA (tRNA) molecules are approximately 80 nucleotides in length. Their secondary structure includes four short double-helical elements and three loops (D, anti-codon, and T loops). Lineage: Eukaryota; Metazoa; Nematoda; Chromadorea; Rhabditida; Toxocaridae. The record is from Rfam by way of RNAcentral.